RNAcentral lists this ribosomal RNA (408 nucleotides) under uncultured Eubacteriales bacterium. RNAcentral's name for it is "bacterial SSU rRNA". It matches the Rfam family "Bacterial small subunit ribosomal RNA", at positions 356 to 774 of the family's 1533-position model. The record is from RNAcentral. Lineage: Bacteria; Bacillati; Bacillota; Clostridia; Eubacteriales.
AGGGAAUAUUGCGCAAUGGACGGAAGUCUGACGCAGCGACGCCGCGUGAGCGAUGAAGGUCUUCGGAUCGUAAAGCUCUGUCCUUGGGGAAGAAGGCGAAAGCUUGACGGUACCCAAGAAGAAAGCCCCGGCUAACUACGUGCCAGCAGCCGCGGUAAUACGUAGGGGGCGAGCGUUGUCCGGAAUUACUGGGCGUAAAGGGUACGCAGGCGGUCAUGUAAGUCAGAUGUGAAAUCCUAAGGCUUAACCUUAGUAAGCAUUUGAAACUGCGUGGCUUGAGUGUCGGAGAGGGUAGUGGAAUUCCCAGUGUAGCGGUGAAAUGCGUAGAUAUUGGGAGGAACACCAGUGGCGAAGGCGACUACCUGGACGAUAACUGACGCUGAGGCACGAAAGCUAGGGGAGCAAACA